ACAUCGUGGCGCUCGCGGCGAGAUGUUGAAAUGUUUAUUCAGAAAUAAGAUGGAGAUUAGAUUUGAAUUUAAUCAAUCGGAACAAAGAAAACUGAUGUCAAGUUUAUUAAAUAAAUAUUACGAUUGGUUAAAUUUUAAAUUCUAAUUUGUCGAUACUGAUUUAUUUGUAGUAGUGCAUAAAAAAACAAAUGUCCGCGAGAUAAAAAUUGCAGAUAAACAUCUGCGAUGAUUAGGCGAAAAGUUAAUCGAUUUCUAUACACGUGCGUUCUGAUUAUUUGCAAUCUCGUGUACUCGGUUAUUUGUUUAACAGCUUGCUCUAUAGCAAGAUUAUUAUAUAAUCGAAACGAGAAUCAUAGAUCUGUCGAGAUUGUGUAUCGCAGUGAAAACUUUUUGAUGGUCAAUAAACCCUAUGACAUGUACAUAAAUAGCAACAAUCCCGACAGAAAAAAUACUCUUCAAUUGGAAUUGCGAAAAAUGUUGCCCGGUUUGGUUAAUCCGAAAUUGUGUCAUGAAUUUUAUUUCGUUCAUCGGCUGGAUUAUCCGACAAGUGGCAUCAUUUGCAUAGCGUUAAAUAAAAAAGCGGCCCAAGCGGCAUCCUCUGCUUUCGAAAAUCAAAAUGUACAAAAAUUCUACUUGGCAUUAGUACACGGUCACAUAUACAAACCUCAUAUUGUAAUAGACAAACCUAUUGGUGAUGAUAUUCGAGAGAAAAGUGGCAAUCACAAAAUGUGCACAAGUGACAGUGUGUUUUGCGAAAAACCACGAAGGUCUUUUACAGUGUUGAUAGUGCUGGAACAUGGAUUUUGGCGAAGUAAGCCUGCCACCAAGGUAUUGCUGGCACCUGGUACAGGUAGACGUCAUCAAUUGAGAGUUCAUUGCCAUCAUAUUGGCCAUACAGUUGUAGGAGAUUACACAUAUAGUGAAGGCAAAGAUAUAGAACCUCACAGAACUUAUCUGCAUUCACUCAGAUUCUUCUACUUCAAAUUGAAAAGUAGCUCUUGAUUACACAUAAAUCAUCAUUUUUACAAAGUUUGUGCAAUUGUCUUCCAACAUUUCUCUUGGAUAUGCCUUGUGACUGAUCUUUCCAAUCUUCUAUUCUUAGUAGCUACAUGGUUUACAAAUAUCACAUCUCCAUUCACUGGAUGAGAUUUAGCUAUCUCUGAGCUCUGCAGCAAUUGUUGCAAUCGUUUUGAAGGAAAAGCGGUUUCCGUGCAAAUAUAUAUGGCACCUAAUUAACAUCAGCAAGACUCCGAAACCACCUGUGGUUACUGGCAAUUGAACAGUAAGACACAAUUGUAGAGCCAACUGUGUCUUUCCAGUGCCAGCAGCACCAUAAAUU
Pseudomyrmex gracilis is the source of this 1339-nucleotide RNA transcript. It is a transcript of the gene named RNA pseudouridylate synthase domain-containing protein 1-like, with no coding region annotated. Lineage: Eukaryota; Metazoa; Arthropoda; Insecta; Hymenoptera; Formicidae. The transcript has 7 exons. The record is from RefSeq and is a predicted model, not a curated record.